AAUUAAAUCAAAACAAGACCUCCAGUUUUAAAUCAGCCAAAUCAGGUUGAGCCUUGAGGAGAAGAUCAUGCCUGGAGUGAGCUGUGCAAUAUUUUGUAUCAAAUCUUCAUUUCAUUUCAUUUCGCUUUUCUUUUUAGCGUAUUGCACUUCCUUGCAAAGACAAGGAUCAAUCUGGAGAACAAACGGGGUGGUUUUGUCAAAAUGAAAAAGGCUUGUCUCAGUUGGCUGUGUGAAAAUGACCCUUCACGGAGAAAUCCAGCAACUCCUCUGUGGGCUCAAACUGGGAAAAAAAGGAAAACGCUCUGAAGGUGUCUGUGACGUGGAAGUUCCCGCUCUGCACAUCUCUGUAAUUAUCCAGUGAGCAAUGCCUCAUCAUGCUUUUUGCCCCCUGAUGAUUGCAGUUCAUUUGCAUUGUGUUUAAUUACCCUGCAAACGUAAAAUAAUCAUAUUGGAGCUUGGGGGGUUGGUGUCACCUGCUCUUAGCAGCCAAGAAAUUCAGUGUUUGGCUGCUCUCUGUGGCUCCUGGAGCUCUUCUGUCUACACAGGGGACUUCACUCCUCCUUGCCCAGGUUUUUGGGGAGUUGAGGGCAGCAGGAUGAGUUUUUCCUGGAAGUGUUCAUCCCUCUCCAUUUGUUGCUGAAGGAGAUGAAACUGCUGCUGUGGAAAUGCUGGCUAACUUCAGGCUGCUAAAAUUAGCUCUGACGAGUCACUCACAUCACUCUGACUAAUUAAUUGGGUUUUUAUGAGCUCAUCACGUUUAAUGAAGAAAAAAUAGCUUGCUAAGUGUUUUGUUGGGGUUUUUUUUUCCCCCUGCAAUUUACUCCGUGUAGUAGUAGGAUUGCUGGAUUAUUUUAAUGUAUUUCUCUUUUGCUAGCACUUGUCUCUGGAUAAAUAUGAUCCCUUUAGGUAAAACUGAAGCCUGGGGGGUGUUGGUUAUUCCAACAGUCAUUAAUUAGCCUCUUUUAUGUGCUGAUUCAUCAGCAGCAACCACUUAUAAGUGCAGUAAAAACCAACUUCUUGUAUCCUGGAUUUAAACACUGGCAGACAUGGGGGAAAUAGUCUAGGAAAAAAUGGAAAGGAAUGUAGGAAAAUGUAGGAAAAUGUGGAAGGGUCUCUGUACUUUUCUGCGGUGUUGGAAAAAAACACCAUUGGGAUUGAGUAAAAUAGAAUAUCACCUUCCAGACAUGGGAAUUAACCCUUCCACUGCCCUCAGAUCCUGACUGGGAUGCUUUUAUUUAAUGCUUUCCCAUUUUUGGGAAAGAUGGGGAGCAAUUGCUCCUUCCCAAGGUGCCAAUUGUGACCAAAACGCCCCCAAUUCCUUCCCAAGGUGCCAACUGUGACCAAAACACCCCCAAUUCCUUUCCAAGGUGCCAAUUGUGACCAAAACGCCCCAAUUCCUUCCCAAGGUGCCAAUUCCAGGUGCAGAUCCCCCUGUGAAGCUCAGGAGCUCAGCUGCCUUUCCCUCCCCAAGUUCUCUUCCCUGUGAGCCUCUGGAAAAAUAAAAAUCUUCCUUUGGAAUGGCUUUGCUGGAAGUGGAAGCACCAGGAGCCUGGUUUAGGGAUUUGUCCUGUGUGUUCUGGCACAGGGAGAUGCAAAUGAUAAAUACAAACACGUGAGUGAGGCUGGUGAGGUGUGCCUGGGUCAGGAAGAAACUUCUCUCCCAGGCAUGUUAAUUCAUAAAAAAACAUUUUAUAUCUUCUUCCACUUUUAUCUCCAGCCUCUGAUCCCAGCCCAUGCUGCUCUCAACCAGCCUGGCUUUUUUUUUUUUUUUUUCCUGUUUGUUACUUUAAUUUCAUUUAUCCCACUACAAACACAAUGUAUAAUAAUGAUGAAUAGCAAUGCAUGCAGUUCUUCCUUUUUGGUUUUUUUUUUUUUAUGAAUAAAGACAUCAAAAUAAAGAACAUUCCUCUGCCACA
This is a long non-coding RNA of Melospiza melodia melodia, 1916 nucleotides long. RefSeq lists it as uncharacterized. The record is from RefSeq and is a predicted model, not a curated record. Lineage: Eukaryota; Metazoa; Chordata; Aves; Passeriformes; Passerellidae. The transcript has 2 exons.